UACGUAGGGUGCGAGCGUUGUCCGGAAUUAUUGGGCGUAAAGAGCUCGUAGGCGGUUUGGUAAGUUGGAUGUGAAAUCUCCAGGCUCAACUUGGAGGGGUCAUUCGAUACUGCCAUGACUAGAGUUCGGUAGGGGAGUGUGGAAUUCCUGGUGGAGCGGUGAAAUGCGCAGAUAUCAGGAGGAACACCCGUAGCGAAGGCGGCACUCUGGGCCGGAACUGACGCUGAGGAGCGAAAGCGUGGGGAGCGAACAGG
Molecule: ribosomal RNA, 254 nt
Filed under: uncultured bacterium
Lineage: Bacteria
Description: partial 16S ribosomal RNA
Rfam family: Bacterial small subunit ribosomal RNA
Source: RNAcentral